Molecule: unclassified non-coding RNA, 335 nt
Filed under: soil metagenome
Description: partial contains 5.8S ribosomal RNA, internal transcribed spacer 2, and large subunit ribosomal RNA
Rfam family: 5.8S ribosomal RNA (bases 1-120)
Source: RNAcentral
GAUGAAGAACGCAGUAAAAUGCGAUAAGUAAUGUGAAUUGCAGAAUUCAGUGAAUCAUCGAAUCUUUGAACGCACAUUGCGCCCGCUGGUAUUCCGGCGGGCAUGCCUGUUCGAGCGUCAUUUCAACCCUCAAGCCCCCGGCUUGUGUUGGGGACCUGCGGCUGCCGCAGGCCCUGAAAACCAGUGGCGGGCUCGCUAGUCACUCCGAGCGUAGUAAUACAUCUCGCUCAGGGCGUGCUGCGGGUUCCGGCCGUUAAAAAGCCUUAUUUACCCAAGGUUGACCUCGGAUCAGGUAGGAAGACCCGCUGAACUUAAGCAUAUCAAUAAGCGGAGGA